Molecule: ribosomal RNA, 434 nt
Filed under: uncultured bacterium
Lineage: Bacteria
Description: partial 16S ribosomal RNA
Rfam family: Bacterial small subunit ribosomal RNA
Source: RNAcentral
AGCGAACGCUGGCGGCAGGCCUAACACAUGCAAGUCGAACGAACCUUUCGGGGUUAGUGGCGGACGGGUGAGUAACACGUGGGAACGUGCCUUUAGGUUCGGAAUAACUCAGGGAAACUUGUGCUAAUACCGAAUGUGCCCUUCGGGGGAAAGAUUAAUCGCCUUUAGAGCGGCCCGCGUCUGAUUAGCUAGUUGGUUGAGGUAAUGGCUCACCAAGGCGACGAUCAGUAGCUGGUCUGAGAGGAUGAUCAGCCACAUUGGGACUGAGACACGGCCCAAUCUCCUACGGGAGGCAGCAGUGGGGAAUCUUGCGCAAUGGGCGAAAGCCUGACGCAGCCAUGCCGCGUGAAUGAUGAAGGUCUUAGGAUUGUAAAAUUCUUUCACCGGGGACGAUAAUGACGGUACCCGGAGAAGAAGCCCCGGCUAACUUCGUG